Molecule: small RNA, 310 nt
Filed under: Drosophila mojavensis
Lineage: Eukaryota; Metazoa; Arthropoda; Insecta; Diptera; Drosophilidae
Description: GI27008
Source: RNAcentral
UAAAAGGGAAAGCCAAACCCCGAAUUCUAUCAUCGUUUUUGAACGGAAGCUACAAUCAACAUGAAAAUACUGUUCACUGCUGUGCUCGCUGUCUUGGCGUCCAACUGCUUUGCUCAAGAUGGAGCUACUCCAACUCCGCCACCUGAAGUUCCAGCAACUGUAUCCCUACCUAAGCUAAAGCUGCUUCUUGAAAUAUAAAGUUGAUUCAAAUAUUCAUUCAUAAUGAGCUGGUCCAAUUAAUUGUUGGGGCAUUAAAGUCUACAAAUUUGGUUUAAAUCUGGCCUGUUCGGGCGCGUAAGACUGCCCUUGU